GUAGGUGGCAAGCGUUGUCCGGAAUUAUUGGGCGUAAAGAGCGCGCAGGGCGGUCCUUUAAGUCUGAUGUGAAAGCCCACGGCUCAACCGUGGAGGGUCAUUGGAAACUGGGGGACUUGAGUACAGAAGAGGAAAGCGGAAUUCCAAGUGUAGCGGUGAAAUGCGUAGAGAUUUGGAGGAACACCAGUGGCGAAGGCGGCUUUCUGGUCUGUAACUGACGCUGAGGCGCGAAAGCGUGGGGAGCAAACAGGAUUAGAUACCCUGGUAGUCCACGCCGUAAACGAUGAGUGCUAAGUGUUACGGGGGGUUUCCGCCCCUUAGUGCUGCAGCUAACGCAUUAAGCACUCCGCCUGGGGAGUACGGCCGCAAGGCUG
Molecule: ribosomal RNA, 374 nt
Filed under: uncultured organism
Description: partial 16S ribosomal RNA
Rfam family: Bacterial small subunit ribosomal RNA
Source: RNAcentral